AGAGUUUGAUUCUGGCUCAGAACGAACGUUGGCGGCGUGGAUUAGGCAUGCAAGUCGAACGCGAAAGGGGUAGCAAUACCCCGAGUAAAGUGGCGAACGGGUGAGUAACGCGUAGGAAACCUGCCUUCGAGAUGGGGAUAACAUUCCUAACGGGGUGCUAAUACCGAAUGACACUGCGAAGUCGCAUGGCUUUGCAGUCAAAGGUGGCCUCUGCUCGCAAGCUACCACUCGAAGAUGGUCCUGCGUCCCAUUAGCUAGUUGGUGAGGUAACGGCUCACCAAGGCUACGAUGGGUAGCCGAUCUGAGAGGAUGACCGGCCACACUGGGACUGAGAUACGGCCCAGACUCCUACGGGAGGCAGCAGUCGAGAGGCUUCGGCAAUGGGGGAAACCCUGACCGAGCGACGCCGCGUGGAGGAUGAAGGCCUUUGGGUUGUAAACUCCUGUCAUGUGGGAAGAAACGCCACCGCGCGAAUAGUACGGUGGUUUGACGGUACCACAAGAGGAAGCUCCGGCUAACUCCGUGCCAGCCGCCGCGGUAA
This 541-nucleotide ribosomal RNA is filed under the name uncultured Desulfovibrio sp. RNAcentral's name for it is "bacterial SSU rRNA". It matches the Rfam family "Bacterial small subunit ribosomal RNA", at positions 8 to 523 of the family's 1533-position model. Lineage: Bacteria; Pseudomonadati; Thermodesulfobacteriota; Desulfovibrionia; Desulfovibrionales; Desulfovibrionaceae. The record is from RNAcentral.